RNAcentral lists this long non-coding RNA (188 nucleotides) under Numida meleagris (helmeted guineafowl). Its description in RNAcentral is "lncRNA (ENSNMEG00000005408.1)". Lineage: Eukaryota; Metazoa; Chordata; Aves; Galliformes; Numididae. The record is from RNAcentral.
CAGUCCAGGGGAAGGAUCGUGCAGUGUGAUCUAGGCAGACUCUGCACCUCUGAUUCCUGCUACCCCUGCACAGAGGUUGCCACUUUCAGCUAGGAGGCUCUGCGCAGCGCCCAUUCUCCAAAGUGCUCAGCUGGCCGCGAGCUAUGAUUGUAUACACCUGCAGUCAGCUCUUGGUCUUGAGGAUGAAG